RNAcentral lists this ribosomal RNA (424 nucleotides) under uncultured bacterium. RNAcentral's name for it is "bacterial SSU rRNA". It matches the Rfam family "Bacterial small subunit ribosomal RNA", at positions 355 to 776 of the family's 1533-position model. The record is from RNAcentral.
UAAGGAAUAUUGGGCAAUGGGCGAAAGCCUGACCCAGCCAUGCCGCGUGCAGGAUGACAGCCCUAGUGGUUGUAAACUGCUUUUAUACGAGAAGAAAUGCUCCGACGUGUCGGAGUUUGACUGUAUCGUAAGAAUAAGCACCGGCUAACUCCGUGCCAGCAGCCGCGGUAAUACGGAGGGUGCAAGCGUUAUCCGGAUUCAUUGGGUUUAAAGGGUGCGUAGGCGGAAUAGUAAGUCAGUGGUGAAAUCCUGCAGCUCAACUGCAGAACUGCCAUUGAUACUGCUGUUCUUGAGUAUAGUUGAAGUGGGCGGAAUGUGUCAUGUAGCGGUGAAAUGCAUAGAUAUGACACAGAACACCAAUUGCGUAGGCAGCUCACUAAACUAUUACUGACGCUCAGGCACGAAAGCGUGGGUAGCGAACAGG